This 91-nucleotide non-coding RNA is filed under the name uncultured Eubacterium sp. Lineage: Bacteria; Bacillati; Bacillota; Clostridia; Eubacteriales; Eubacteriaceae. The record is from RNAcentral.
GCUGGGGGAGCGAAAGCUGAGAGUGUACGGUAUCCGUACAGACCCUUACACCUGAUCCGGGCAAUACCGGCGAAGGGAAGCUGAUAUAUAA